Molecule: long non-coding RNA, 6595 nt
Organism: Camarhynchus parvulus
Lineage: Eukaryota; Metazoa; Chordata; Aves; Passeriformes; Thraupidae
Exons: 3
Source: RefSeq, a predicted model, not a curated record
UGCAGUUAAAAGUGAUUCAUCCUGAUCAUCAACUAUGUUUUUCUUUCCUCAGGUUUCAACUGUCCACAAUUAAAGGCAAUAAAUUAGAGAGAAAACAAGGAAGAGCUGCAGCAGAACUCUGGAGGUAAAGGUGAGGUACUGGGUGUGGGCUGGUGGCUGCUGGAGUUAGGGACUUCCCAGCCAGGGCUCUCUGGCUUUUAUUUGACAGCUGAGGCAGAGAAACUUCAAUACUGCAGAAAGGUCAGUCAAAACAAAGAAGACAGUUUUCUCCUUUUCAGUGCAGAACAAGACUCUGCAUUCUGGCAGAUAAAGACAGGGCACAAUGUAUAUUGUUGUAAUUAUAUAAAGUAAAUAGUGUCUGACUUCUUUCUAAUUUGUUCCUAGAAAAAAUGUAGAAGUCUUGCUGAAGCUACUUGAAAUUGAGGUGGGAAAUGAGCUAAAGUAAAAUGUUUCUAACCAGGAUUUACAGAGCUGAGUAAAUGAGAAAAUGUUUUUCUGUAAACUUCAGCAGAACCUGCAUUAGGUAAAUCAGUUCCAGUUCCACAGCAAAGAGGGGACAGCUGAGCCCACAGUAACAAGUACUUCGUAGUAAAAAAUACUAAAUUUGCUUUUUAAAUACAUAUGGUUUGAAAACAAAACCAGCCUAUAAAUAAAUGGCCAUAUGCUUUAUCUACUAGUCUAAUUCAGCUUUUUGACAAUUGCUUGGUGUUUUCUGUGAGUACAAAGUGUAGUUACAGUCUCUGUAGCAUUUACAGGGUCUGGUGACCUUCAGAUUCUUUGAGGAGCUGUCCUUGUCCCCAGGACAGAGCUGGCUGGCCUGAGCAGCAACCUGGGCUUUUUCUAUGCAGGCUGCAGCUUUCCUGGCUGCCCCAGGAUGGUGUUUCCACUGAGAUGGAUCAACUGGAUUUGAAAAGGGCAUUUGCCUGAUGGUGGCCUUUGCCAUGGAAUUGUCUCACCACACCCAGGAGCUCCUGCUCUGAGCCCUGUCCCUCCUUAAGGAGUUCCUGUGCUGUGCCAUGGAGUGGGGGAAACACAGCUUGGUCUGAGCUGUGGGGAACCCCAGCCCUGGUGGGAGCCCAAGGAGCAGCUGCACCCAGACCCCUGCACAGAUUGCCUGAGGGCUGGCUGAAGAACAGGAGCUAGUCAAGAACAGCUGAAGUCCACAGAGGGAUAGCAUCCCACUCCUCCGAGGGAAAAGUGAGUCCUUAAUGUUUUCCCAGCCUUCCUCACUAUCAGACUGAACCUUUUCUUGGAUGCAGAAGAGCAGAAAGUAAAGCAGUUUUAGUGGUUUGUGAACUCCUUGGAGCAGCUCUGAGGGCUCAGAGGUUUCUCUCAUUCCUAAAAGAAACAAGCAGCUUGUUAGAAGAAAUACACAAACCUGUUUCUGUUAUGAAACAGAACUACCUCCCAUAAAGCAUCUCAUUUAAUUACCUACUUGUUUUCUCUUGUACAGUGUCCAAGGGGACCCGUGAGCCUCUGUACCAAACACUUUACUUUUUCAUUUCUCUAUUGCUGUUUCAUUGCUUGACAUUUCACUAGGUUGCAAUGCACCUGGGUGAAGUUUAGGGAUCAGUAAUAAAACUCUGCUCUUUCCCAGUGCCCUGAGACUUCUGCUUUUUUGAUCCUGCUGCAGGCAAGGAUCAUGCCAGGUGUGUUACCUGCAUCUGCUCAGGCUGUCACAGAACUGUCCCCUGGCUGUGUCCCCCCGUGGUUGUGUCCAGGUGCUGCUGUGACCUUGUGCCUGCAGCCACCACCACCCCUGCUUGGCCACCGUGCCAUUUCUCCAGCCUUUACCUUGUAGCCAAACUUGGCACCACGAGCCCUGCCUGUAACAGAAAUAGUUUCUGCAGCCCUGUUUUCUAUUUUUACUCUGAAUCACUCCUUAAAAUGUCACCACUCUUCUGCAUUCCUGGGUUUGUCACUGCCCUGGCUCAGGGUGAGUUUCAGGGAUGUGGUGCUUUGUGUGUUUUAGUAAUGGCUUGGAGUCAUUAGUGCUGCUAAUGCAGAGGAGCACAUUCCUCCCAAAUCCCUGCUCACCCAGAGCACAGCAGGCACAGUCCCUGCCUACCUGCCCAGUACAGCAACACCCCGGGGCCGGUGUUAGAGCAGCGCUGAUGCUUUUGUUCCGGGCAAUUACGUGCCAAAGAAAACAACAAAAGGUUUUAUUUGUACCACACCCACCAAUUACUGCCUGCUCCAAGAGCCAGGACAGUUCCCUGGCUGCAGUCACUUUGCUUUUUGCAGUUAAAUUACCACGAGGGCAUCACUGAGCUCUCAGUUUGGGUAACACUUGCUUUGAAGUUAAAUUGAACACUUGGGGAUUGCAGAGCAACAGUCCAUCUCCAGGUAAACUUACAUGUUUCCAGAUCUCUCCAGUCCUCUCAAUUACAAUCGUUUGUGAUUUAUUGACCGGUGAUGUGACCUUGUAGUCAUCAGACAGGAGACCCAGAAUAGGAUACUGAUUCCUGUACCUGUAGAGAGUUGAACAGGUUGUUUAACAGAGCCUAAACAAAGGAAAGCCCAAAUGAUGUCUUUUUUAAAAAGGUGAAUAACACGUUACUUUUUAGUGAUGAUGGCUGUCACCCCAGGGGACUGGCUGCCUGAAAACUUGUCAUGCUUCAGUCUGAAGAGCUCCUGACAAAACCAAAAGCAAACACUGAUGUCAAGUCAUGUUUUUUGAAGUAUCAGUUCACUAAAGCCACAACAAAAUAUUUGCAGAAAUUUGUCUCAACAGUCUGAAAAUCUGCCCUUCCAGAAGGCUGGCAGAGAAACAGCAUUCAGGUAGAACAAAUCCUAACCCCCUUUCCUGAGCCAGGAGAGGACAAGGAACUUCCUGGUAAGGUUCCACCUACACAGUACCAUGGAGGCUCAAACACAAAAACCCUUAGAGAAAUAACUUGUAUUAUUUUACCUCUUGCUGUUGUUUAAUAAAAGCCUCUUUGUCCUCCAGCAGCGAUGUCAGUUCGUGCAGCCUCAUUUGCAAGUCGCUGUUGCUCCCCUCUCUCCUGGUUAUGUCCUGCUGGAACUGGCACAGCUGGGACUGCAGAACAAGGCAGGAGCUCUCAGGUGUGGGGGGCUCUGGGCAGGGCCCCUCAGCACCCACCCAAGGCUCUGGGGGUGGCAUUUCAUUAACACCAUCAACAGUGAGACACAGGGGUUUUCAGGUCAGGAAGUUGAGCCACACAGUAAAUUCAGAAAAUGCUAAUUGGACUGAAUUCUACCCAGUAUUAAUGUAAUGAUUUUACAAUUCUCAAGCUAAACCAACACUGAAUCAGUUGAAUUGGCGUCCAGAGUUGGAGACUUUUACCACUGAUUUCCAUGAGAGACAUUUCCUACAUACAGCUGUGACUGGGAUUUAUUUUUGUUUCCUAUUAAGCAUAUUUUGACUAAUUUCUUAUGUUUUCAGGACACACAAAAUAUCCCUUUAGGACAGCCCAUCCUUUAGGAUCAACCACUAACCAGGUUGAUCCCUAAUUUCUUCAUGUAAAGAACAGUUGGAUUUUUUUUAAAUCACAGUUUUAUGUUCUACUAUAAAGGUUUUUAACCAUCACCAGUGUCUAUGAGUAAAGUAACUGCACAGCCAGAAGACAGCCAAAAAGUGCCUGUGGAAGAUCUCUGCUGCUCCAAGUGCAGGAGCAGCUGUCCCUGCACACAGCCAGCAGAGCCCCUCACCCUGAGGCUGCGGAUCUCCCUGUCCUUGUCCUCCCUGAGGUUGUUGAUCAUCUCCACGUAGCGGCUGGACAGCUCGUCCGUCGUGGUCUGCAGCGUCGGGCUGGAGCAGCUCUGCACAAAGAGCCCAGUUUUAGUUUACAAAAAAUGCUUCCAUUGUUAGUUUUCUUACACUGAUCCCUCUGAGUCUGGGACUCAGAGGGGACUGAGCCCUCACCUGCAGCUUGAGGCUCUGGAUCUCCUGCUCCAGGGCCCUCUUGCUGUACUCCAGCUCCUUCAGCUGGCAGUCCUUGUCCCCCUCGCUGAGCCGCAGGGACAGGAGCUGCUCCUCCAGCGAGCGGCAUUUGGCAGUGCUGUCCCUGAGCCCUUGCUGCAAAGCACAGGGGGAAUGAGCACCUGCAGUUCCUCAGGGGAGGAACAGCAUCACACACACAGCAGGCAGCAGUUACUCAGAGUACCCAGAAGUCAGCAAAUUGCCCCCAUUUUGGCUGCCUGGAAUGACACUGGAAAUGUUUCUCGAUUUACCUGCUGCUGACGGUUGUUCUCCCUCAGAGAGGCCAGCAUUGCUUCAUAUUCUUUCACUUGGCAAUCCUUAAAAGCCAAAUCCUUCUUCAGCAAGACAUUGUCAGUUUCCAGCUUCUGCAGGACAAAAGUCAAAAGUUUACAGUCAAAAGCUGCAAUUUUUCAGUCAAGUCUUCCCAUAAAGUGCCACACAGUCAUUAAUAAAGGGAUGGUUUAGAACUGAGAGAAUGCUUAACUUCCUUGAAAGUUUGGGGUUUAGGUACAUAGCACACACUGUAGUGCCUGUGGCUUUGUGCUGGGUGGUGAGCACUGGGAUCCUGGACACUGCCCUUCCACUCUGCCCCAGAAACAAUGGGGCAAUAGAAUAAAACAAAAACCACCCCAAAACUGCACACAUUCCUUGUUCUGUGCUCAAGUUCAAACUCUUCUCCUUCAACUUUGCAUUUUCCAAGACAAUGCUGUGACAUUCCCAGCAGUGCUGAGCACCUGUGGAGCUGCCACAGCCACCCCUGUCCAUCGAGCCUCCUGAGGCACUGACAGAGCAGCCACUGGCACCAGCACAGGCACAGCCUGGAGUGCCAGCUCUGGGAGCAGCUGGAUGAGGAGGAUGAGGAGCAGCACUCACCCCCAGGUCAUCCUGCAGGUGGCAGAGCUCCUCCCGCAGGUUCUUGAAGGUGGAAAGCACAAGUCUCAGGGAUUUGUCCGAUGUUGCUCUCAUCUGGGAGGGGAGAAAUGAAAAGGAUAAUUGGGAUUAAUUAGGCAGCUUUGUUUACAAUAUGCCUGACAAGAGGUAGAACAGAAACUGCUUUACAGCUGACAGUAACUUCUGAAACCAUUGCACGUCCUUUGAAGUGCCCACAGUUUCUACAGGAAACAUUUUCCUUGCACUUUGUUCUGCAAAUGCCAGUGUUCAGUUUCUGCUUUGUAACACAGCACAGCAUUGUUAAAAUGGAAGGAACAACAGGGUAAGAACUGCCUUUGUGCACCAAUAAAGGGAAAAAUAAAUGUGUUAAUAUUGUACAAUUAUUAUUUGAGCUUUAAAAGCUUUGUGCUCACACUGAUUUUUAAAAAUUACUGCCCUGCCUGAAAAGGCACAGAGGAAUGAGUCAUGUUUGAGAUCUGGCAAAGCUUUGGGCUCAAGGAUGAAGAAAUUUAAUUAACAUUUUUAAAAAUUUAAAUUAAAAAAGCUCAUACAGCCAACUCCUCCCUUUAAAAGGAAAAAGAUCCCAAAGAUGAAAGGAGUCACCUGGAUGAAAGAGAAAACCAUAAGUGACCACAGCCCAACACUGUUCUCCUUUGGAAUGUUAAUUUUAAUGCCUUUAAUACCUGUGUAUUGAUUCAGGUGAAAAUAUAAAUUGUUGCAUUUCAUGAUACAUUUAUAAUAUUCAAAAGAAGAAAAAUAGACUUUGAAAGGACACACAAAACAACUCCUCAAGCUGUAACGCUCCUGGAAGGGCUGAAUAAUCUGUGCAAAAGCUGUGGUUUUUUCCUGUCCAGACAGAAGUGAAACCCUCCUGUGUGUUCCCUUAACUUGGAGCUCUCAUGCUCUCUGUCCAUAUGGGGAUUGGCCCUUGCCCAGUUAUUUAUCCCCACUGGUGCCAUGGUCUGACUGAGACUUCAUUCCUGGUGUAACUCACCUUUCUGUUUGUUUUGUCAUUAAAGUGGAAUUUCACUUUUGCCUUAUGGUUCUGUUGCUUUUAUUGUGUAAUACACUACAGAUUGAGUUUAAAAGAAGGAAUUGAGUCAAAUGGUGAAAUUUAGACUAUAAAAAUAUAAGUAAAACCCCACUCAGCAAUUGCUUAGUGCUAGAGCUUCCUAAAUCCCAGAGGUGCCUUGUGCUUCUCUCCAGGGGAGUUCUCUGUGUCCUUAGAGGAGCCUCUGGGCAUUCCCAGCUCGGGAUCCUGGGCUGUGCAAACCCUUCCCUCCCUGCUCUGUCCUGGUGGCCAGGGGAUCUGAGGGCACCCUGGGUGGAUCCUGACAACACCUGGGUCCCCAAAAGCCAUUCUGGCUGCAUUUUAUAAUCACAGCUGUGAGGAUGUAAAACCAGCUGGACACAGACACAACAGGAAAUGCCUGUUCCAGCUUUUCACCUGGAGCUGAACCAGCCUCCCAAGGACAGUGUGCCAGUGAGAGGCCAUGGAAUGUCCUCAUGCUGGCUGGAAUGUCCGUGGGGUUGAUGUCCCUCUUCCUUGUAAGAGAAGCACAGAAUAAUUCCAGCUGGAAGGGAUGGGGAGGUCAGAGCAGGGCAGCUGUGAACUCAUACGAGGCUGCUCCUUCUCAACCUCAUUUUAAUGGAUUUCUUUUUUACCAGGAAGUGAUUCCAAGGCGCAGCUCCCAGGUAGGAUCACCCUUCCCCUACCUGAGGGAGCCCAGAUCAGGACACUCCUGCUGAGGCUGCCCUGGA